Non-coding RNA from Camellia sinensis, 594 nucleotides. The record is from RefSeq and is a predicted model, not a curated record. Lineage: Eukaryota; Viridiplantae; Streptophyta; Magnoliopsida; Ericales; Theaceae.
AUGCAUGCUUUUUUUCUUCUUAUUUCACAUAAAUUGAAUUUGUGUUAUUGGCAGCUCAGGACACUACUAAAAAUCUCUUUCUAGUGCAGGUGUUAGUUUACCACGAUCUACUAGGAAUGAUGCAACACCCACAUCAUGCCAAGGUAACCCCCAAAUUCUGCAAGCAGUAUGGGCAAGUUGGAGAUGUCAUUAACAAGGCUCUUUCAGAGUACAAGGAAGAAGUAACAAAUGGUUCAUUCCCAGGCCCUGCCCACAGCCCGUAUAAAAUUAGUGCCACCGAUGUUGAUGGUUUUUUGAAAUGAGCUGCAAAAGUUGGGUUUGGACAAGGCUGCAUCAGCAGCUGCUACAGCGGCUGAGAAGAUUGAGAAUGCUGAAUCACCUGAUGUAGGGAGCCCAACAAGCAAUUGAUUUAUAGGACCAGAUCACCAAGUGUAGCAGUUGACAUCCUCCAAAUUUUCAUUUCGUGAUCAGGAAAAAAGAGCCAAAUAACAGUAUUGUAGUGCCAGUUUUGUAGCCAAAGCUAACACCAUAUUGAGGUCUUCCAUCUCUGUUCAGCAACAAAGGUCUUAAGUUCCAAAGGGUGUCUUGCGACCU